UAACGUUUACCAAAUUUUAGCGGGAAGCCGAAGCAACUCCUUUUUUAUUUUUUUUACUAAAUUUUCAAAUUACAGUUUUAUUAAAUUUCUUAGGUUUGUGUGCGUCAAAUUCUCAGCGACACCAGUAGUAUGAACUAAGAAAAAUAGGUAAUUCCUUUUCAGUUUUGUUUGCGAAGAAACGAACAAAAAAAUAAGCAAAAGUGGGAGCGAAAAAUGGAGAACCCUAGCAGUGGUGAAAGAUGGAGCAGAGCAGGAAUCGAUGACAACAUGCUGGCUAUGUUUGAUGCCUCCGAAACCAAGGAUGUUCAUCAAGAUGCCCUAGAUGACCGGAUUGCUUUUAUUGAUGCUGUUCGUGCUUCUUGUGAACAUGGAAAACCGCCCACUUCAAAGAUUUUUGGGGCAGUUUUCCACAUGCUGAGGACAGGGAAGUCUCUAGAGUUGAUUGUGGGAAGUUAUAAGCUUCUGGUUGAUUUAGACAAGCACUUCCCUCGUGUGUAUUUAUCUGGCAUGGAUGAUUCCCGAUCAUCAUCUAACUCUCCAUCAAAAUUGGUUGUGGUUAAAGAGGCAUGGGCUCCCAUUAUUGGUUUCGUGGAUAAGGCCACUGCUGUUAGUGAAGCCGGUGACAAACAGUCUGGUGGAUCUCUUGACCACUCUAGCUUUCAAGCUCUGAUUGAAGAGCUGGCUGAAAUUUUAUCUGAGACCAAAUUUGAAGCAGCAAGCAUGGAGCCCUUGAGGAACAUGUUAAUCUUUCAGUACCUUGUCGUUGUUUUUGAGGAUGAUUUUCUACCUCGCAACGCAACCUUGAACUGGAGCAUGCAGAGGGAGUCUUUGCUCAGCCUGCUACUGUUUUUGCAGGGAUCUAGGAAAAUAAAUUACAAAAGCUUGAUGAAGUAUUUCAUGGCAAUUCUGUGUCAACUAUCUCAACUUCAAAGUGAACUCAGUAAACAUCCAGUGCUUCAAGAAAGUUCUGAAUCUAAGUUAUCCAAAAAUUGUCAUACUGCACUAUCUCUUGCUUUACAUGGAGUAUUAAAGGACACAUGUGUCUCAAUGGAGAAACUUCUAGUGAUGAUUAUGGACCUUGAUAUGGCAAGGAAGAUAGCAGAUAUUGAAGGUCACACUACAAGAGGAGACAGUCCAAGAACACCUUUGAUGGACAUAAUUCUGGAUGAACUCUCUUACAACAAAGAUAGUGUCCCUGUUUUUCUUAAGAUCUUCAGUGAAUCUAAAUGGAAGCUAGAAAUAGUUGUGCAGUAUCUGUGGAAAUACAUAACCAAGCCUUCUGUUCGUACCCGCAAGUCAAAUGGUCAUACUGAGGAUGCAACAUUUGAUGGGGCUUUGAAGUGCUUUUCAAAUAAAACUGGCACUAAGAGCUUAAUAAAAAAAAUUGGUGUAGAUGUAGUUCAAUUCCUUCUGGCUCAUGGUUUUCAGGCUCACUUGUCAAUAUUGUCAAAAGGAAAUGCUGGUGAUAAACAAGGGGGAGACAGUGCUAUUGUGGAUUCGUGUCAGACUUUUAUCUCUGCUUUUGAUAGUUUGAGAAGCACAGAUGCGCAUAUGGAGAUAUUGUCUAUAGGAAAAGAGGCACUAUUUACUGCGGCAACUAUUAUCUUCAUGAAAUCAUAGGAAUAAUCUAAGGCUUUAAUGCAUGAGAUAUACUUUGCCAUGUGGGAAAUUUUACCUCCUUGUCUGACUGAAUGAUAAUAUCCCAAACUAUUAUAGUAAUUUUAUUUUGAGGCUAUGCCACAACAUUGUAUAGAAAAGUACAGCCUCCUUGCAGCUUUAUAGUCGUAGCUUAGGUGCUAUGCUGGGUUUAUUUUGCUCCAACUCCAAGUGAUGCAUAGGAGGUUUAAUUUUGGCAAUUGUUACAGAUCUGACAAAACAAUGCAGAUGCAAUUAGAUUUGAUACCAUCUUGGAAUUGUUUUUCUUCUUUUUCAUAAUGUAGCAUUGCUGAACUCUAGAAUUACACUGAUGAAUGAAAUUCUUACUCAGAAUGUGCAGUAAACUUA
Glycine soja is the source of this 2004-nucleotide RNA transcript. It is a transcript of the gene named negative regulator of systemic acquired resistance SNI1-like, with no coding region annotated. Lineage: Eukaryota; Viridiplantae; Streptophyta; Magnoliopsida; Fabales; Fabaceae. The transcript has 17 exons. The record is from RefSeq and is a predicted model, not a curated record.